CCUGGCAUAGGUGCUGUCAAAUAGUCACUCAACGUUAAAGCAAUAUGCCCAACAAUAAAGGCCUGAGCCAGCGUAGAAACAGCGGACAGGAGGAAAGAUUUUACAUAAUCGAUGGGGGCAAGGAUUACCUCACAGAGGAGAGAGGAAUCUGUGACGGGAUUUGAACUACAGGAAAGGUUUCGAUAUACAUUUGGUCAACCAAGGUAGCUUGCUCCAGUCCUAACGGGAGAGAGGAGGAGAAUUCCUUUCAAAGGCCAGAGAACUCACCCCAGCCAAACAAGACAAGAAAAAUCUAUGAUAAACAUGAGAACAAUCCAACAAUGAACACAAUGUCACAGUUCAACUAAACCCUGGGAUCUUGGAUAUUUUCUUGGAACGUACCACUUCAAUGCAAGCCAGAAUAUGGAAGUUUUUAUUACGAUUGCAUUCAGGAAAAUAAAAUGGCGGUCCUACAAAAUUUUUAAGACUGUUGGCCAAUGUUAGGCUUUAAGUGUAAUAUUUUUUGAAAACGUUAAUUGGAAGCACAAAUUGACUCUUCAAGAGUCACACAGUUCCCAGAACAUUCCUUAAUAAGAACAGCAUGUGGAAGAGAUGCUUCUGAACAGAAAAAUGAAUACAAGUCUAGAAAAUCCCGGCUUUCUGAUUUACCAAGCUAUGUAUUGGGACUCCCUGGAAUCCACUAAGAGAACUCUAUAGAUAUAGUUGUGGUUGCCCCCACAACCCCCAACCCUGCUCUCCCACAGGGCUGGCAAAUCUCUUCAUGAGUCUGAAGACAAUUCCAUCGACCAGGGAGUCUGCCAAAAUGGAGUCACCUUUCCUUGGAUCACUCUCAAAUAAAGGUGAUUGGAUUUUU
Molecule: long non-coding RNA, 853 nt
Organism: Canis lupus familiaris (dog)
Lineage: Eukaryota; Metazoa; Chordata; Mammalia; Carnivora; Canidae
Exons: 2
Source: RefSeq, a predicted model, not a curated record